Molecule: non-coding RNA, 25 nt
Filed under: Rattus norvegicus (Norway rat)
Lineage: Eukaryota; Metazoa; Chordata; Mammalia; Rodentia; Muridae
Source: RNAcentral
UGGCAUCUCGUGUACCUUCCUGUUC